CUACGGGUUGCAGCAGUGGGGAAUAUUGCACAAUGGGCGCAAGCCUGAUGCAGCAACGCCGCGUGAACGAAGAAGGUCUUCGGAUCGUAAAGUUCUUUUCUUAGGGAAGAAAAAUGACGGUACCUAAGGAAUAAGCACCGGCUAAAUACGUGCCAGCAGCCGCGGUAAUACGUAUGGUGCAAGCGUUAUCCGGAAUCACUGGGCGUAAAGGGAGCGUAGGCGGUUUUGCAAGUCAGAAGUGAAAGGCUACGGCUCAACCGUGGUAAGCUUUUGAAACUGCAAGACUAGAGUGCAGGAGAGGCAAGUGGAAUUCCUAGUGUAGAGGUGAAAUUCGUAGAUAUUAGGAGGAACACCAGUGGCGAAGGCGACCUGCUGGACUGUAACUGACGCUGAGGCUCGAAAGCGUGGGGAGCGAACAGGAUUAGAUACCCUUGUAGUC
This 439-nucleotide ribosomal RNA is filed under the name uncultured bacterium. Its description in RNAcentral is "partial 16S ribosomal RNA". It matches the Rfam family "Bacterial small subunit ribosomal RNA", at positions 339 to 795 of the family's 1533-position model. The record is from RNAcentral.